UACAGAGGGUGCGAGCGUUGUUCGGAAUUAUUGGGCGUAAAGAGCGCGAAGGCGGCUGGUCAAGUCCGAUGUGAAAGCUCCCGGCUUAACUGGGAAAUUGCAUCGGAAACUGAUCGGCUGGAAGGUGGGAGAGGGUAGCGGAAUUCCCGGUGUAGUGGUGAAAUGCGUAGAUAUCGGGAGGAACACCAGUGGCGAAAGCGGCUACCUGGCCCAUUCUUGACGCUGAGGCGCGAAAGCUAGGGGAGCAACCGGG
RNAcentral lists this ribosomal RNA (253 nucleotides) under uncultured bacterium. Its description in RNAcentral is "partial 16S ribosomal RNA". It matches the Rfam family "Bacterial small subunit ribosomal RNA", at positions 524 to 776 of the family's 1533-position model. The record is from RNAcentral.